UGGGGAAUCUUGGACAAUGGGGGCAACCCUGAUCCAGCGACGCCGCGUGGGUGGUAAGGCCUUCGGGUUGUAAAGCUCUUUUACCAGGGAUGAUAAUGACAGUACCUGGAGAAUAAGCUCCGGCUAACUCCGUGCCAGCAGCCGCGGUAAUACGGAGGGAGCUAGCGUUGUUCGGAAUUACUGGGCGUAAAGCGCGCGUAGGCGGUUUUUCAAGUCAGGGGUGAAAUCCCGGAGCUCAACUCCGGAACUGCCCUUGAAACUGGAUGACUAGAAUCCUGGAGAGGCGAGUGGAAUUCCGAGUGUAGAGGUGAAAUUCGUAGAUAUUCGGAAGAACACCAGUGGCGAAGGCGACUCGCUGGACAGGUAUUGACGCUGAGGUGCGAAAGCGUGGGGAGCAAACAGGAUUAGAUACCCCCGUAGUCC
RNAcentral lists this ribosomal RNA (423 nucleotides) under uncultured prokaryote. RNAcentral describes it as "bacterial SSU rRNA". It matches the Rfam family "Bacterial small subunit ribosomal RNA", at positions 355 to 796 of the family's 1533-position model. The record is from RNAcentral.